CCAACAAUGCUUUUCUUAUGUCAUUACUGCAUCAUAAGUCUUAAUAUAUAAAAUCAUUUAAAAUCUAUAUAAACCUAUGCCAUCCAAAACCUCUGCCUAUAUCUAUCCUUUAAAGCCAGCAGAGGUUGAAGGUCCUUUGGGAUACGUAUAUCUCAGCAGAUGUUUUGAAAUUGCCGUUAUGACUAAAUGAUGAUUGUGAAUGAUUU
RNAcentral lists this long non-coding RNA (206 nucleotides) under Helianthus annuus (common sunflower). RNAcentral's name for it is "hypothetical non coding rna". Lineage: Eukaryota; Viridiplantae; Streptophyta; Magnoliopsida; Asterales; Asteraceae. The record is from RNAcentral.